GUUCCAAACUCUUGCCUCAGGAGGACACAAAAGAAACUCGAUCUGUGUUCAAUUCAGCCGCCAUAAGCUGGGCCAAAUCAGGCCAACUAUGAGAUCAUUCUGUGGUCUGCUGGCAGCAGGACUUCGUUCAUGGGCCAAUAUGCUGAUGACAUGAUCUGGAGCUAGUCACCUUUUAUCGAUCUAUGUAUGGCCACCUACAG
Long non-coding RNA from Xenopus tropicalis (tropical clawed frog), 200 nucleotides. RefSeq lists it as uncharacterized. The record is from RefSeq and is a predicted model, not a curated record. The transcript is spliced from 2 exons. Lineage: Eukaryota; Metazoa; Chordata; Amphibia; Anura; Pipidae.